RNAcentral lists this ribosomal RNA (433 nucleotides) under uncultured bacterium. Its description in RNAcentral is "bacterial SSU rRNA". It matches the Rfam family "Bacterial small subunit ribosomal RNA", at positions 957 to 1391 of the family's 1533-position model. The record is from RNAcentral.
GAACGCGAAGAACCUUACCAGGUCUUGACAUCCCUCUGACCACUCUAGAGAUAGAGUUUUCCUUCGGGACAGAGGUGACAGGUGGUGCAUGGUUGUCGUCAGCUCGUGUCGUGAGAUGUUGGGUUAAGUCCCGCAACGAGCGCAACCCCUAUUGUUAGUUGCCAUCAUUCAGUUGGGCACUCUAGCGAGACUGCCGGUAAUAAACCGGAGGAAGGUGGGGAUGACGUCAAAUCAUCAUGCCCCUUAUGACCUGGGCUACACACGUGCUACAAUGGCUGGUACAACGAGUCGCAAGUCGGUGACGGCAAGCUAAUCUCUUAAAGCCAGUCUCAGUUCGGAUUGUAGGCUGCAACUCGCCUACAUGAAGUCGGAAUCGCUAGUAAUCGCGGAUCAGCACGCCGCGGUGAAUACGUUCCCGGGUCUUGUACACACC